RNAcentral lists this ribosomal RNA (716 nucleotides) under uncultured bacterium. Its description in RNAcentral is "bacterial SSU rRNA". It matches the Rfam family "Bacterial small subunit ribosomal RNA", at positions 803 to 1518 of the family's 1533-position model. The record is from RNAcentral.
UAAACGAUGAGUGCUAAGUGUUGGAGGGUUUCCGCCCUUCAGUGCUGCAGCAAACGCAUUAAGCACUCCGCCUGGGGAGUACGACCGCAAGGUUGAAACUCAAAGGAAUUGACGGGGGCCCGCACAAGCGGUGGAGCAUGUGGUUUAAUUCGAAGCAACGCGAAGAACCUUACCAGGUCUUGACAUCCUUUGACCACUCUAGAGAUAGAGCUUUCCCUUCGGGGACAAAGUGACAGGUGGUGCAUGGUUGUCGUCAGCUCGUGUCGUGAGAUGUUGGGUUAAGUCCCGCAACGAGCGCAACCCUUAUUGUUAGUUGCCAUCAUUUAGUUGGGCACUCUAGCGAGACUGCCGGUGACAAACCGGAGGAAGGUGGGGAUGACGUCAAAUCAUCAUGCCCCUUAUGACCUGGGCUACACACGUGCUACAAUGGGAAGUACAACGAGUCGCUAGACCGCGAGGUCAUGCAAAUCUCUUAAAGCUUCUCUCAGUUCGGAUUGCAGGCUGCAACUCGCCUGCAUGAAGCCGGAAUCGCUAGUAAUCGCGGAUCAGCACGCCGCGGUGAAUACGUUCCCGGGCCUUGUACACACCGCCCGUCACACCACGAGAGUUUGUAACACCCGAAGUCGGUGAGGUAACCUUUUUGGAGCCAGCCGCCUAAGGUGGGAUAGAUGAUUGGGGUGAAGUCGUAACAAGGUAACCAAGGGCGAAUUCGCGGC